RNAcentral lists this ribosomal RNA (468 nucleotides) under uncultured bacterium. RNAcentral describes it as "partial 16S ribosomal RNA". It matches the Rfam family "Bacterial small subunit ribosomal RNA", at positions 28 to 507 of the family's 1533-position model. The record is from RNAcentral.
GACGACCGCUGGCGGCGUGCUUAACACAUGCAAGUCGAACGGAAAGGCCCUGCUUUUGUGGGGUGCUCGAGUGGCGAACGGGUGAGUAACACGUGAGUAACCUGCCCUUGACUUUGGGUUAACUUCAGGAAACUGGGGCUAAUACCGGAUAGGAGCUCCUGCUGCAUGGUGGGGGUUGGAAAGUUUCGGCGGUUGGGGAUGGACUCGCGGCUUUUCAGCUUGUUGGUGGGGUGGUGGCUUACCAAGGCUUUGACGGGUGGCGGGCCUGGGAGGGUGACCGGCCACAUUGGGGCUGGGGUACGGCCCAGGCUCCUACGGGGGGCAGCAGUGGGGAAUUAUGCACAAUGGGCGGAAGCCUGAUGCAGCAACGCCGCGGGCGGGAUGACGGCCUUCGGGGUGUAAACCGCUUUCGCCUGUUACGAAGCGUGAGGGACGGUAAUGGGUAAAGAAGCACCGGCUAACUACGUG